GAUGAACGCUGGCGGCGUGCCUAACACAUGCAAGUCGAGCGAUCUUCUUCGGAAGAGAGCGGCGGACGGGUGAGUAACGCGUGGGUAACCUGCCCUGUACACACGGAUAACAUACCGAAAGGUAUGCUAAUACGAGAUAAUAUGCUUUUAUCGCAUGGUAGAAGUAUCAAAGCUUUUGCGGUACAGGAUGGACCCGCGUCUGAUUAGCUAGUUGGUAAGGUAACGGCUUACCAAGGCGACGAUCAGUAGCCGACCUGAGAGGGUGAUCGGCCACAUUGGAACUGAGACACGGUCCAAACUCCUACGGGAGGCAGCAGUGGGGAAUAUUGCACAAUGGGCGAAAGCCUGAUGCAGCAACGCCGCGUGAGCGAUGAAGGCC
RNAcentral lists this ribosomal RNA (379 nucleotides) under uncultured bacterium. RNAcentral's name for it is "bacterial SSU rRNA". It matches the Rfam family "Bacterial small subunit ribosomal RNA", at positions 28 to 416 of the family's 1533-position model. The record is from RNAcentral.